Non-coding RNA from Meleagris gallopavo (turkey), 1936 nucleotides. The record is from RefSeq and is a predicted model, not a curated record. Lineage: Eukaryota; Metazoa; Chordata; Aves; Galliformes; Phasianidae.
UAUGCCUUAACAAUCAGCAUCUAGUUCAUGGCCAAAAUAGAUGAUGGAGCUAAUGAAAACAUCUACAUUCAUUUGGUGAUGAUUGUCAGCUGUCACAGGCAGGCCAAUCACAAACUAUGAAUGCUAUGAAGUGGAUUACCAAAGCAUUUUUCUUAACAGUGAGGAGCAAAGACAUUGUCUAUGGAUGAAAACAAUGAGUACUUCGUUGUAGUUGCUGGAUGGAUAUUCCUUUUUAUCUUCAUAAGUCCUGGAGGAACAGCAGUGGAUUCCCAGCUUUACUUCAUCUCCUAGUCUGGUCUAUUAUGUCUAUCUUGUGUAUUAGAAGCAGCUCUUUUUCAUUGCUACCAUCCUUUUCAGUUGAAAUUCUACAUCAUUAGGAGUGGUUAGCCAUUGAGUAGUAUCUACUUGCUGCAAAGCACUUGAGUAUACUCUGCUCAAAUGGAAGACAUAGAAAAAUCCUGCUGUCAGACUGGAGCAAAAGCUACAAAAAUGUAAGUGGUAAUUCAAAUUUGGAAAUGAUUUCACUGAAGAUGGAUUUCUGCUGUUGUUGCUCACUGCAGUAGUGUUUGAAAGUCUCACAAGUUGGAAAUCUGUUGUGCAGUUGAAGCUGUACUGACGCUGGACAGAAAUGUAGCCGCUGCAUUGAAGUGUGUGUUUAAGCAACCAGGUUGGAGGUUUCAUUUGUUUGCUUGCUUCAGAGCUUUCCUUGUUUUUUUUUCUUCUUUCUUGAGCGGUGAUUUGAACUUAAGUUGAAAGCACAUAUUGUAUUAAUCAUCUAGAAUACACUUAGAUGUUGUUAUUUGAGCCCUCAUCCACUGAAGCUAUGGAAACUCUUCCUUUCUCUGCUCUGUUAUGAAGCAAGUUCUCUGUUUUUUGAUCAUCUUCCUUCCUGUUCUUAAGCAUGUUCAAAAACCGUGGUAAAUCCAAGUGAGGGCUAGCACCAUCGACCAAUGACUAGAGGAAGUCAUAUUUAAGAGAUGUAGCCUUACCUCCAAAACAGAAUGGCAGAAUGUGCCUUCUCAAAAGAACAUUAAAAAAAAAAAAUUGUGGCUGUUUCACUGCAAGUUCUUAGUUUGUGCGUGUAGUUGCUCUGUUACAUUUGAAGUAAAAAUAGAAAACCAGGGUUAUUAGUGGUAUUCCAGAAGUGACUGAGCCUGUUGUACUUGUACUGUUCAGCUUCACUAAAAUACUUUAUUCCCAGGAUUCAACUGUUAGACAUGGUCUGAAGGUCAUUUAAGUUCUGGGUCUGAUAGAAGUUUUUUAAUCUGCCUUGGAGCAGAGCUGGGUUUUAAAUGAUCUAAGGCCUUCCUUUCUGCAGUAUGGGGCAUUAGUUCCUUGCCCAAAUACUUGGUGUGGAUUAUAUUUAAACUCUGUAGCCAGCUAAUAAACUCUAAAAAGUUUCAUUAGUUUUUCAUAGCCACAUUACUUUCGUCAAGGCCUGUGGGAAAGAGGAAUGUCUGAGUCUACAUACAUGUAUGGUGUGGGAAUGUAUACAGAUACUGGUAAAACUUGUGAUUUGGACUGCUAUUGCUAUUAAUUUUUUAUCAAUGUAUCGAUACUAAUAUGAACAACUCCACAGGAUUUUUCCAUAACGCAUAGAUGAGAGAAAAGCUUGUAUGCAGACAUAUUUUAUGCAGCAAAAAAGUUAAAAUUAAACUAUUUAGAACUUCAGAAAUUCUUUUUUUCUAUUUCUUCAGAAUCUGAAUAGCAAGAGUCAAAGGCGUUAAAGCUGUAUGCUUUUAUUUAUCUCAUUACAAAUCUAAAUACUGUUAAAAUAACUGAGUGAAUUAUUGUAUUUAAGUAUGUACUCAGCACUAAUUAUUCCGUGUUGUAGUUCAGUGAAUUCAGGAAAUUAUUUUCAUUGAACAUAUCUCUAGUGGUAAAAGGUUUACAUUUCAUCAGAUGAUGCUGUAUGUCCUUUAUAAUGUGAAAAUUA